Molecule: ribosomal RNA, 435 nt
Filed under: uncultured bacterium
Lineage: Bacteria
Description: bacterial SSU rRNA
Rfam family: Bacterial small subunit ribosomal RNA
Source: RNAcentral
CAGGCCUAACACAUGCAAGUCGAACGAAGCCUUCGGGCUUAGUGGCGCACGGGUGCGUAACGCGUGGGAAUCUGCCCUUGGGUUCGGAAUAACAGUUAGAAAUGACUGCUAAUACCGGAUGAUGUCUUCGGACCAAAGAUUUAUCGCCCAAGGAUGAGCCCGCGUCGGAUUAGCUAGUUGGUGAGGUAAAGGCUCACCAAGGCGACGAUCCGUAGCUGGUCUGAGAGGAUGAUCAGCCACACUGGGACUGAGACACGGCCCAGACUCCUACGGGAGGCAGCAGUGGGGAAUAUUGGACAAUGGGCGAAAGCCUGGUCCAGCAAUGCCGCGUGAGUGAUGAAGGCCUUAGGGUUGUAAAGCUCUUUUACCCGGGAUGAUAAUGACAGUACCGGGAGAAUAAGCCCCGGCUAACUCCGUGCCAGCAGCCGCGGUAAU